AACGAACGCUGGCGGCAUGCCUAACACAUGCAAGUCGAACGAGAUCUUCGGGUCUAGUGGCGCACGGGUGCGUAACGCGUGGGAAUCUGCCCUUUGGUUCGGAAUAACAGUUGGAAACGACUGCUAAUACCGGAUGAUGACGAAAGUCCAAAGAUUUAUCGCCAGAGGAUGAGCCCGCGUAGGAUUAGCUAGUUGGUGUGGUAAAGGCGCACCAAGGGGACGAUCCUUAGCUGGUCUGAGAGGAUGAUCAGCCACACUGGGACUGAGACACGGCCCAGACUCCUACGGGAGGCAGCAGUGGGGAAUAUUGGACAAGGGGCGAAAGCCUGAUACAGCAAUGCCGCGUGAGUGAUGAAGGCCUUAGGGUUGUAAAGCUCUUUUACCCGGGAUGAUAAUGACAGUACCGGGAGAAUAAGCUCCGGCUAACUCCGUGCCAGCAGCCGCCGUAA
This 449-nucleotide ribosomal RNA is filed under the name uncultured bacterium. RNAcentral's name for it is "partial 16S ribosomal RNA". It matches the Rfam family "Bacterial small subunit ribosomal RNA", at positions 29 to 523 of the family's 1533-position model. The record is from RNAcentral.